ACGGAAGGCAGCAGUGGGGAAUAUUGGACAAUGGGGGAAACCCUGAUCCAGCGACGCCGCGUGAGUGAAGAAGUAUUUCGGUAUGUAAAGCUCUAUCAGCAGGGAAGAUAAUGACGGUACCUGACUAAGAAGCCCCGGCUAACUACGUGCCAGCAGCCGCGGUAAUACGUAGGGGGCAAGCGUUAUCCGGAUUUACUGGGUGUAAAGGGAGCGUAGACGGCAUGGCAAGUCUGAUGUGAAAACCCGGGGCUCAACCCCGGGACUGCAUUGGAAACUGUCAGGCUAGAGUGCAGGAGAGGUAAGUGGAAUUCCUAGUGUAGCGGUGAAAUACGUAGAUAUUAGGAGGAACACCAGUGGCGAAGGCGGCUUACUGGACUGUAACUGACGUUGAGGCUCGAAAGCGUGGGGAGCAAACAGGAUUAGAUACCCUGGUA
RNAcentral lists this ribosomal RNA (434 nucleotides) under uncultured Lachnospiraceae bacterium. RNAcentral describes it as "bacterial SSU rRNA". It matches the Rfam family "Bacterial small subunit ribosomal RNA", at positions 341 to 792 of the family's 1533-position model. The record is from RNAcentral. Lineage: Bacteria; Bacillati; Bacillota; Clostridia; Lachnospirales; Lachnospiraceae.